RNAcentral lists this long non-coding RNA (524 nucleotides) under Fukomys damarensis (Damara mole-rat). RNAcentral's name for it is "lncRNA (ENSFDAG00000032119.1)". The record is from RNAcentral. Lineage: Eukaryota; Metazoa; Chordata; Mammalia; Rodentia; Bathyergidae.
GUGGGUAGCAAGUUUGAAGUGCACAGUUUUGGUGGAGAGAUGAAUCAGUGUGGACUGGAGUGAUCAGGCAGUGCUGGGGUGGUGCAGUUGGGGGGGCAGGGAGUGGUCCCCUGAUCUGUAACGUUAGAGAUGGAAGCCCAUAGUCUGUCUUGAAGACCAAGGGAGCCUUGGCUCGUGGUCAUCCAUGUGACAUCUUUAUUUCCUUAGAGGAGCUGAGGCCAGUGUUGUCAGCUCAUGUGAUCUACAUGGUCCUGGGAAACAUCUGGCCGCUGUUGUCCACAGUGGGAAGCUAAGCACCCUGGCCCAAUAUCCCCAUCCACCUGCAGGGAGCGCUAAGCACUGGGGAGGUGACCCUCCAGAUCUGCAGGAAGGAUCUCAAUAAAGAUAGAAGAGGGCUCAUCCCUCCCUUGCCGAGGACCAUGGAGACAGCUGACUCCAGCCGAAGCCGCUGGCUCCGCACUCCUCCGCGCCCACACCCGCAGCCCCAGCCAGCCGGACCGUGUCCACACCGCCCUUUCUCAGCG